Nelumbo nucifera (sacred lotus) is the source of this 865-nucleotide non-coding RNA. The record is from RefSeq and is a predicted model, not a curated record. Lineage: Eukaryota; Viridiplantae; Streptophyta; Magnoliopsida; Proteales; Nelumbonaceae.
GCCAAAACUCCCUCGUUCUUCUAAUUCCCACUUUCGACAAAAUUCUAACGAAAAAGGGUUCUCUCCAUAGCAGAAAACCAGUUGCAGUGGUGAAAGUAAGAUCUCUCUCUCUCUCUCACACACACACACUCACUCACUCUCAUUCUCUCUCUCUCUCAAAAUAUCAUCACUGCCUUCAUCGUCAACGAUUCUUAAGAGCAAGCACAAGAGGAUAUGAAAUUUGUUUAGCAGGGUUUCUUGGAUACAAUUAUUGACUUCUUUGGAGUAGCUUUUGGGAGUGUGGGGGUGUUGGUGGUGGUGGGAUCUUCAUUCCCAUGUUUACCCUUGUGAAAUCAUCAACAAAAAUAUUAAGAUGGCUUUGAUUGUUGUUCUUCGGAGGCUUUUGAUGAUGACACAUUAACACCCUUGUUUUGUUUUGUCGCCCAAGCAACCUCUUCAAGCUGCUGAAUGCUCUAUAAAAUGAUUUAAGAUUUUGAUUUUCGCCUCCUGGGCGGCCGAAGAAUGCCUCGAAAUGGCCAGGAGUAUGCAUGGUUAGAAGAAGCUUUGUGAUAAAGAGCUCCUCAAGGUAUAGUCGUUCUUGAUAAAGUAGACUGAAGUCCCUACCGGAAUCUGUUUUAGAUCUCCUCUUGAAGGACUCCCUCUGUUGUCAUGCCAUGCCGCAGGUCCAGAAGGGUCAUGACACCUUGUCCACAGGUAACGUAGAAGACAGCAUCAGCGCCCUCAUGGAAAUAUGUUAGGAAGGUGUGUUGGGGUUAGCCUUGAAAGAGUCUUAAAGCUCUGUUUGUCAACUAAGGGUAUAUUAAACUUUUUUAGUUCGUCCAUUUUGAAAUGUGAAAAGAAAGAAGAGGUUUCAGUACUUAAGAGA